RNAcentral lists this ribosomal RNA (705 nucleotides) under Boletus variipes var. fagicola. RNAcentral's name for it is "eukaryotic LSU rRNA". The stretch from base 173 to 328 matches the Rfam family "5.8S ribosomal RNA". The record is from RNAcentral. Lineage: Eukaryota; Fungi; Basidiomycota; Agaricomycetes; Boletales; Boletaceae.
UCAAAUUCAAUUAGAGAGGGAGGGAAGAUGGAUUUGGAUUCCGUGGACCCCCCCUUUUCUAGUUUCCUUCUUAUCCACCUGUGCACUCUUUGUAGGCCCUCGCAAGAGGAUCUAUGUCUUUCUUAUCUACGCUUUAUGCUAUCUGUAUGUCCAGAACGUAUACAAACUUUACAACUUUCAGCAAUGGAUCUCUUGGCUCUCGCAUCGAUGAAAGAACGCAGCGAAUCGCGAUAUGUAAUGUGAAUUGCAGAUUUUCAGUGAAUCAUCGAAUCUUUGAACGCACCUUGCGCUCCUUGGUAUUCCGAGGAGCAUGCCUGUUUGAGUGUCAUCGAAUUCUCAACCGUGUCUUGAUUUAAGCAUGGCUUGGACUUGGGGGUUGCCGGCCCCGUGUCAGCUCUCCUGAAAUGUAUUAGCGAUGGUCAGCAACCCUGACGUGCACGGCCUUUUCGACGUGAUAAUGAUCGUCGUGGGCUGGAGCGUAGGGCGAGCGGUGAAUCGCUUCCAAUCUCUUUAGACUUUUGGUCCUUUNAGAGACUACUUCAGUUACUAGUCGGUCAUGAGGCUGACGAACACGAGGGAAACUUCAAGGAUCAUGGUCUUUCCAUCUUGAUCUUGGACCUUUGAGAGAAUCCAAGCCUUUAGUUACUAGUCUGUCGACGAACGCAGNGUUUAGGUCUCUCUCAUCUGGAUCUGGAUCUCGAACUC